GUUAAAUUUUAGACGGUUUUCGUGUAAAACGAAAGUGGCCGCAUUCGUGUUCAUCCUUAAUAUUGAAAUUUAAGUUGUAUUUUAUAAUAAUACAUAACAUGUAUAAAGGUUGAGGAUGAACACGGAUGCGGCCACUUUCAUUUUUACCAAAAACCAUCUGAAAAGUGACAUUUUUCGGCCAUUUAGGUAGAUUUUUCAUAUUUGAGCUUGAAUCGGAUCGUUUUUUAUGACUAAAUCUGUUAAAACCUUUCACAU
This 255-nucleotide long non-coding RNA is filed under the name Mytilus galloprovincialis (Mediterranean mussel). Lineage: Eukaryota; Metazoa; Mollusca; Bivalvia; Mytilida; Mytilidae. The record is from RNAcentral.